GGGUUGUGAGGUUAAGCGACUAAGCGUACACGGUGGAUGCCCUGGCAGUCAGAGGCGAUGAAGGACGUGCUAAUCUGCGAAAAGCGUCGGUAAGGUGAUAUGAACCGUUAUAACCGGCGAUGUCCGAAUGGGGAAACCCAGUGUGUUCCGACACACUAUCAUUAACUGAAUCCAUAGGUUAAUGAGGCGAACCGGGGGAACUGAAACAUCUAAGUACCCCGAGGAAAAGAAAUCAACCGAGAUUCCCCCAGUAGCGGCGAGCGAACGGGGAGGAGCCCAGAGCCUGAAUCAGUGUGUGUGUUAGUGGAAGCGUCUGGAAAGGCGUGCGAUACAGGGUGACAGCCCCGUACACAAAAAUGCACAUGCUGUGAGCUCGAAGAGUAGGGCGGGACACGUGGUAUCCUGUCUGAAUAUGGGGGGACCAUCCUCCAAGGCUAAAUACUCCUGACUGACCGAUAGUGAACCAGUACCGUGAGGGAAAGGCGAAAAGAACCCCGGCGAGGGGAGUGAAAAAGAACCUGAAACCGUGUACGUACAAGCAGUGGGAGCCCUGAUUUAUCAGGGUGACUGCGUACCUUUUGUAUAAUGGGUCAGCGACUUAUAUUCUGUAGCAAGGUUAACCGAAUAGGGGAGCCGGAGGGAAACCGAGUCUUAACUGGGCGUUAAGUUGCAGGGUAUAGACCCGAAACCCGGUGAUCUAGCCAUGGGCAGGUUGAAGGUUGGGUAACACUAACUGGAGGACCGAACCGACUAAUGUUGAAAAAUUAGCGGAUGACUUGUGGCUGGGGGUGAAAGGCCAAUCAAACCGGGAGAUAGCUGGUUCUCCCCGAAAGCUAUUUAGGUAGCGCCUCGUGAAUUCAUCUCCGGGGGUAGAGCACUGUUUCGGCAAGGGGGUCAUCCCGACUUACCAACCCGAUGCAAACUGCGAAUACCGGAGAAUGUUAUCACGGGAGACACACGGCGGGUGCUAACGUCCGUCGUGAAGAGGGAAACAACCCAGACCGCCAGCUAAGGUCCCAAAGUCAUGGUUAAGUGGGAAACGAUGUGGGAAGGCCCAGACAGCCAGGAUGUUGGCUUAGAAGCAGCCAUCAUUUAAAGAAAGCGUAAUAGCUCACUGGUCGAGUCGGCCUGCGCGGAAGAUGUAACGGGGCUAAACCAUGCACCGAAGCUGCGGCAGCGACACUGUGUGUUGUUGGGUAGGGGAGCGUUCUGUAAGCCUGUGAAGGUGUGCUGUGAGGCAUGCUGGAGGUAUCAGAAGUGCGAAUGCUGACAUAAGUAACGAUAAAGCGGGUGAAAAACCCGCUCGCCGGAAGACCAAGGGUUCCUGUCCAACGUUAAUCGGGGCAGGGUGAGUCGACCCCUAAGGCGAGGCCGAAAGGCGUAGUCGAUGGGAAACAGGUUAAUAUUCCUGUACUUGGUGUUACUGCGAAGGGGGGACGGAGAAGGCUAUGUUGGCCGGGCGACGGUUGUCCCGGUUUAAGCGUGUAGGCUGGUUUUCCAGGCAAAUCCGGAGAAUCAAGGCUGAGGCGUGAUGACGAGGCACUACGGUGCUGAAGCAACAAAUGCCCUGCUUCCAGGAAAAGCCUCUAAGCAUCAGGUAACAUCAAAUCGUACCCCAAACCGACACAGGUGGUCAGGUAGAGAAUACCAAGGCGCUUGAGAGAACUCGGGUGAAGGAACUAGGCAAAAUGGUGCCGUAACUUCGGGAGAAGGCACGCUGAUAUGUAGGUGAAGCGACUUGCUCGUGGAGCUGAAAUCAGUCGAAGAUACCAGCUGGCUGCAACUGUUUAUUAAAAACACAGCACUGUGCAAACACGAAAGUGGACGUAUACGGUGUGACGCCUGCCCGGUGCCGGAAGGUUAAUUGAUGGGGUCAGCGCAAGCGAAGCUCUUGAUCGAAGCCCCGGUAAACGGCGGCCGUAACUAUAACGGUCCUAAGGUAGCGAAAUUCCUUGUCGGGUAAGUUCCGACCUGCACGAAUGGCGUAAUGAUGGCCAGGCUGUCUCCACCCGAGACUCAGUGAAAUUGAACUCGCUGUGAAGAUGCAGUGUACCCGCGGCAAGACGGAAAGACCCCGUGAACCUUUACUAUAGCUUGACACUGAACACUGGUCCUUGAUGUGUAGGAUAGGUGGGAGGCUUUGAAGUGUGGACGCCAGUCUGCAUGGAGCCGUCCUUGAAAUACCACCCUUUAAUGGCUGGUGUUCUAACGUUGGCCCCUUAUCGGGGUUGCGGACAGUGUCUGGUGGGUAGUUUGACUGGGGCGGUCUCCUCCUAAAGAGUAACGGAGGAGCACGAAGGUUGGCUAAUCCUGGUCGGACAUCAGGAGGUUAGUGCAAUGGCAUAAGCCAGCUUGACUGCGAGCGUGACGGCGCGAGCAGGUGCGAAAGCAGGUCAUAGUGAUCCGGUGGUUCUGAAUGGAAGGGCCAUCGCUCAACGGAUAAAAGGUACUCCGGGGAUAACAGGCUGAUACCGCCCAAGAGUUCAUAUCGACGGCGGUGUUUGGCACCUCGAUGUCGGCUCAUCACAUCCUGGGGCUGAAGUAGGUCCCAAGGGUAUGGCUGUUCGCCAUUUAAAGUGGUACGCGAGCUGGGUUUAGAACGUCGUGAGACAGUUCGGUCCCUAUCUGCCGUGGGCGCUGGAGAACUGAGGGGGGCUGCUCCUAGUACGAGAGGACCGGAGUGGACGCAUCACUGGUGUUCGGGUUGUCAUGCCAAUGGCACUGCCCGGUAGCUAAAUGCGGAAGAGAUAAGUGCUGAAAGCAUCUAAGCACGAAACUUGCCCCGAGAUGAGUUCUCCCUGAGACUUUAAGUCUCCUGAAGGAACGUUGAAGACGACGACGUUGAUAGGCCGGGUGUGUAAGCGCAGCGAUGCGUUGAGCUAACCGGUACUAAUGAACCGUGAGGCUUAACCUUACAACGCCGAAGGUGUUU
RNAcentral lists this ribosomal RNA (2932 nucleotides) under Escherichia albertii. RNAcentral's name for it is "23S ribosomal RNA". It matches the Rfam family "Bacterial large subunit ribosomal RNA". The record is from RNAcentral. Lineage: Bacteria; Pseudomonadati; Pseudomonadota; Gammaproteobacteria; Enterobacterales; Enterobacteriaceae.